RNAcentral lists this ribosomal RNA (649 nucleotides) under uncultured bacterium. RNAcentral's name for it is "bacterial SSU rRNA". It matches the Rfam family "Bacterial small subunit ribosomal RNA", at positions 43 to 736 of the family's 1533-position model. The record is from RNAcentral.
CAGGCCUAACACAUGCAAGUCGAGCGGGCAUAGCAAUAUGUCAGCGGCAGACGGGUGAGUAACGCGUGGGAACGUACCUUUUGGUUCGGAACAACACAGGGAAACUUGUGCUAAUACCGGAUAAGCCCUUACGGGGAAAGAUUUAUCGCCGAAAGAUCGGCCCGCGUCUGAUUAGCUAGUUGGUGAGGUAAUGGCUCACCAAGGCGACGAUCAGUAGCUGGUCUGAGAGGAUGAUCAGCCACAUUGGGACUGAGACACGGCCCAAACUCCUACGGGAGGCAGCAGUGGGGAAUAUUGGACAAUGGGCGCAAGCCUGAUCCAGCCAUGCCGCGUGAGUGAUGAAGGCCCUAGGGUUGUAAAGCUCUUUUGUGCGGGAAGAUAAUGACGGUACCGCAAGAAUAAGCCCCGGCUAACUUCGUGCCAGCAGCCGCGGUAAUGCGAAGGGGGCUAGCGUUGCUCGGAAUCACUGGGCGUAAAGGGUGCGUAGGCGGGUCUUUAAGUCAGGGGUGAAAUCCUGGAGCUCAACUCCAGAACUGCUUUUGAUACUGAAGAUCUUGAGUUCGGGAGAGGUGAGUGGAACUGCGAGUGUAGAGGUGAAAUUCGUAGAUAUUCGCAAGAACACCAGUGGCGAAGGCGGCUCACUGGCCCG